GGUCACUUUCAUUAACAUUGCAUUUCUUGCGCAAUAGAUACUGUAUAUAAUACAUUUGCUGGCUAAUCCGAGCAUAUAAUGAUGCCAUAGAUGGGGAACACAAAUAUAUAUGUAAAACUUUAAGUUGCAUAACUAUACCAACAUCUAGCAUGCAAAAAUGAUUGUUAUUAAUUUGCAUGUUAUAUUUGCAAUUACUGUUGGAUAAUCAAAUUGUAAUUCAUCUUGCCGAAUUGUUAUGGUAGUUUGGACUUCAUUUUAUGGACUCAUCUGCAGUUGGUUGCUGUGCAUAAGAAUGUCUUUUAUGCUUUUUUUCUAAUUCUUGCAGGCUGAAAGCGCAAUU
This 340-nucleotide unclassified non-coding RNA is filed under the name Hevea brasiliensis (rubber tree). The record is from RNAcentral. Lineage: Eukaryota; Viridiplantae; Streptophyta; Magnoliopsida; Malpighiales; Euphorbiaceae.